GGGUUGUGAGGUUAAGCGACUAAGCGUACACGGUGGAUGCCCUGGCAGUCAGAGGCGAUGAAGGGCGUGCUAAUCUGCGAUAAGCGCCGGUAAGGUGAUAUGAACCGUUAUAACCGGCGAUACCCGAAUGGGGAAACCCAGUGUGAUUCGUCACACUAUCAUUAACUGAAUCCAUAGGUUAAUGAGGCGAACCGGGGGAACUGAAACAUCUAAGUACCCCGAGGAAAAGAAAUCAACCGAGAUUCCCCCAGUAGCGGCGAGCGAACGGGGAGGAGCCCAGAGCCUGAAUCAGCAUGUGUGUUAGUGGAAGCGUCUGGAAAGGCGCGCGAUACAGGGUGACAGCCCCGUACACAAAAGCGCAUGUGCUGUGAGCUCGAUGAGUAGGGCGGGACACGUGGUAUCCUGUCUGAAUAUGGGGGGACCAUCCUCCAAGGCUAAAUACUCCUGACUGACCGAUAGUGAACCAGUACCGUGAGGGAAAGGCGAAAAGAACCCCGGCGAGGGGAGUGAAAAAGAACCUGAAACCGUGUACGUACAAGCAGUGGGAGCCCCACCACCAAAGCAUUCUCUGGUGUUGAAGGCCCUGCAAAGCAGCAUCGCGGUGGCGGAGCGUCGUUUGCGACGCCCAACACACAAAACAAGCGGUGAGUGCUUUGGGGUGGGGUGACUGCGUACCUUUUGUAUAAUGGGUCAGCGACUUAUAUUCUGUAGCAAGGUUAACCGAAUAGGGGAGCCGGAGGGAAACCGAGUCUUAAUUGGGCGUUAAGUUGCAGGGUAUAGACCCGAAACCCGGUGAUCUAGCCAUGGGCAGGUUGAAGGUUGGGUAACACUAACUGGAGGACCGAACCGACUAAUGUUGAAAAAUUAGCGGAUGACCUGUGGCUGGGGGUGAAAGGCCAAUCAAACCGGGAGAUAGCUGGUUCUCCCCGAAAGCUAUUUAGGUAGCGCCUCGUGAAUUCAUCUCCGGGGGUAGAGCACUGUUUCGGCUAGGGGGCCAUCCCGGCUUACCAACCCGAUGCAAACUGCGAAUACCGGAGAAUGUUAUCACGGGAGACACACGGCGGGUGCUAACGUCCGUCGUGAAGAGGGAAACAACCCAGACCGCCAGCUAAGGUCCCAAAGUCAUGGUUAAGUGGGAAACGAUGUGGGAAGGCCCAGACAGCCAGGAUGUUGGCUUAGAAGCAGCCAUCAUUUAAAGAAAGCGUAAUAGCUCACUGGUCGAGUCGGCCUGCGCGGAAGAUGUAACGGGGCUAAACCAUGCACCGAAGCUGCGGCAGCGACGCUGAUGCGUUGUUGGGUAGGGGAGCGUUCUGUAAGCCUGCGAAGGUGGCCUGUGAGGGUUGCUGGAGGUAUCAGAAGUGCGAAUGCUGACAUAAGUAACGAUAAAGCGGGUGAAAAGCCCGCUCGCCGGAAGACCAAGGGUUCCUGUCCAACGUUAAUCGGGGCAGGGUGAGUCGACCCCUAAGGCGAGGCCGAAAGGCGUAGUCGAUGGGAAACGGGUUAAUAUUCCCGUACUUGGUGUUACUGCGAAGGGGGGACGGAGAAGGCUAUGUUGGCCGGGCGACGGUUGUCCCGGUUUAAGCGUGUAGGUGUGUGUUCCAGGUAAAUCCGGUUCACUUUAACACUGAGGCGUGACGACGAGGCACUACGGUGCUGAAGCAACAAAUGCCCUGCUUCCAGGAAAAGCCUCUAAGCAUCAGGUAACAUCAAAUCGUACCCCAAACCGACACAGGUGGUCAGGUAGAGAAUACCAAGGCGCUUGAGAGAACUCGGGUGAAGGAACUAGGCAAAAUGGUGCCGUAACUUCGGGAGAAGGCACGCUGACACGUAGGUGAAGUGAUUUACUCAUGGAGCUGAAGUCAGUCGAAGAUACCAGCUGGCUGCAACUGUUUAUUAAAAACACAGCACUGUGCAAACACGAAAGUGGACGUAUACGGUGUGACGCCUGCCCGGUGCCGGAAGGUUAAUUGAUGGGGUCAGCGCAAGCGAAGCUCCUGAUCGAAGCCCCGGUAAACGGCGGCCGUAACUAUAACGGUCCUAAGGUAGCGAAAUUCCUUGUCGGGUAAGUUCCGACCUGCACGAAUGGCGUAAUGAUGGCCAGGCUGUCUCCACCCGAGACUCAGUGAAAUUGAACUCGCUGUGAAGAUGCAGUGUACCCGCGGCAAGACGGAAAGACCCCGUGAACCUUUACUAUAGCUUGACACUGAACAUUGAGCCUUGAUGUGUAGGAUAGGUGGGAGGCUUUGAAGUGUGGACGCCAGUCUGCAUGGAGCCGACCUUGAAAUACCACCCUUUAAUGUUUGAUGUUCUAACGUGGACCCGUUACCCGGGUUGCGGACAGUGUCUGGUGGGUAGUUUGACUGGGGCGGUCUCCUCCUAAAGAGUAACGGAGGAGCACGAAGGUUGGCUAAUCCUGGUCGGACAUCAGGAGGUUAGUGCAAUGGCAUAAGCCAGCUUGACUGCGAGCGUGACGGCGCGAGCAGGUGCGAAAGCAGGUCAUAGUGAUCCGGUGGUUCUGAAUGGAAGGGCCAUCGCUCAACGGAUAAAAGGUACUCCGGGGAUAACAGGCUGAUACCGCCCAAGAGUUCAUAUCGACGGCGGUGUUUGGCACCUCGAUGUCGGCUCAUCACAUCCUGGGGCUGAAGUAGGUCCCAAGGGUAUGGCUGUUCGCCAUUUAAAGUGGUACGCGAGCUGGGUUUAGAACGUCGUGAGACAGUUCGGUCCCUAUCUGCCGUGGGCGCUGGAGAACUGAGGGGGGCUGCUCCUAGUACGAGAGGACCGAAGUGGACGCAUCACUGGUGUUCGGGUUGUCAUGCCAAUGGCACUGCCCGGUAGCUAAAUGCGGAAGAGAUAAGUGCUGAAAGCAUCUAAGCACGAAACUUGCCCCGAGAUGAGUUCUCCCUGAGACUUAGAGUCUCCUGAAGGAACGUUGAAGACGACGACGUUGAUAGGCCGGGUGUGUAAGCGCAGCGAUGCGUUGAGCUAACCGGUACUAAUGAACCGUGAGGCUUAACCUUACAACGCCGAAG
This 3029-nucleotide ribosomal RNA is filed under the name Salmonella enterica subsp. enterica serovar Senftenberg. Its description in RNAcentral is "23S ribosomal RNA". It matches the Rfam family "Bacterial large subunit ribosomal RNA". The record is from RNAcentral. Lineage: Bacteria; Pseudomonadati; Pseudomonadota; Gammaproteobacteria; Enterobacterales; Enterobacteriaceae.